UGGCGACUCCCACUUCUAUGCCAGGCCAGAGGGAGGCAAACAGCCAAGGCGCGCCUCGAAGGUCCCGCACCGUUUCACUGGGCAGAAGGACAGUGUGUUCCGAGUCACAGAGAAAAGGAAGGAAAUGGUCGGAGCAUCUGAAGUCCAAGAGGAUGGAAGUGUGAAGGUGGAACUGCCCAUAGAUCAGAUGGAAGCCAAAGUGGUUGAAGAGGAACAAAACGAAUACAAAUAUUCCCAACUUGAGACUGGGGGUCAGAGCCCUAACAGAGACUUCCACAGAGGUUAUGAUGUGAACUGGACUACAGCCUAUAAGGUCAUAGGCUUUAUCAUUAUGA
Molecule: long non-coding RNA, 335 nt
Organism: Electrophorus electricus (electric eel)
Lineage: Eukaryota; Metazoa; Chordata; Actinopteri; Gymnotiformes; Gymnotidae
Source: Ensembl